CAGUUUUUUAACAGCACUUGUUCAGUCUGUCAGGAUGAAGACAAGUGACAGAAACUAUGAGCCAGACCUUUCUGGACUGAACCCAGAUAUGGAGCAAAAAAAUGCAGCUCACAAAUGAAAAUGUGACUGGAAGCUCCUCUGCGAUCCUAUCCUGCUCUUACAGUGACAAACAAACUGAAGUCAAGACAAGAAAAGACUCAAUGACAGCAGGAAUAAGACAUUAUUCAGAUAAAUGAUUCACUUCAGAAUCCAGAAUUUUCUCAGAGGAGUUUAAGAAAUGAAGAAUCAUUCUCAUACUCAUUUGCUGCUUCAUCGGUGUACUUUCGGUGGUCAUAACCAAAGUAUCUCUGCAGGACACAGUAGAGGCCAUUAUUGGUGGUUCUGUUGUUCUGCCGUGUUCUUCAACUGAACAUUAUCUUAAACUUCAAGACAUUAAUGUGCACUGGAGACACAAUGGCAGCAAGAUUGUGUAUGAUAUAGUCAAGGGUGAAGAUUCAGUAGUGUUACAGGACCAAGAGUACAAGAACAGAGCUGAAAGUUUCCCGCCUGAGUAUCUGAGAGGAAACUUCUCCAUCAAACUGAACAAUCUUCAACACACUGAUGCAGGAACAUAUAGCUGCUAUAUCACGCCUUCAUCUGAACAGAAGACUGUAGAGCUGAUCAUCAACGAAUCAACAGCAGAAACAGGAAACAAAUCCACUAAUCAAGGAAACCAAGGAGAAGAUACAGUGUUUACAUUGUAGUGUACUCAAAAAUUUAAUUGUGAUUUAAUCGUAGCACCCAUUAUGCAUCUAAUCAAAUCAAGUAAAAUUGGACUGCUUUGAAUAUGUUAUACGAACACAAUAUUCAUUUGUAGAUUAAACAUGAUUUAGAU
Cyprinus carpio (common carp) is the source of this 874-nucleotide long non-coding RNA. RefSeq lists it as uncharacterized. The record is from RefSeq and is a predicted model, not a curated record. Lineage: Eukaryota; Metazoa; Chordata; Actinopteri; Cypriniformes; Cyprinidae. The transcript has 5 exons.